GCGAUCAAUUUAAUUAGUCGUUAAAAUCUUAGUCGCUAAAUCACGAUUACAUUAUUACUGGCAGAACAAAACUCAAAUUUUCUAUCUAAAUUAAAUUACACUUUGAGUGCUACUCUAUGUGGAUUUUUCACAUCCCGAAAGGAUUACUAACUAACACGCUACAUUAUUAUUGGCUAUUACAUUAUAAUAGAUCUAAAUAAGCUAAGAAAAUUAAAGAAAUAUAACGAAUUUCUAGCUAGUUUUCUACUCUACAACAAAUUAAUACACACAUACACCCGAAAACACAUAAACCAAAUUAAGAUUAAAAUUCAUUCCUAGCUAGAUUACAUGGAUCAUACAUCAUAUAUAUUUACGUACCUCAUAAUUAUAUCUAAUUAACCUUCAGCUACUCCUCUUCAUCGUCACCUCUAAGAUUUACAAAAUGUAAUUCUCUCACCACUCCUCAGUACAAAAAAGGAAUGGAAGAAACUACUGAACAAUAUUUUAUAUAGAUAGAGCAAGAAAAAUGGUGAUGAUGAUGAUCAUGUAUGUAUCUCUGUAUCAAACUCAAGCAUCUCAGGGGCCUCCAAGAUGCUCUCCAAAGAAGGCUUCCAUGGUCCUUGUUGUUGUUGUCUUGCUCUCUCAAUUUGUUGUAGCACUUGUUCAAGCUUCAACCCUCCUCUUCUUCCUCCUUUCUCACCAUUCAAUUCAAGUAUCAACCAUUUCAACUCUUCUUUUGUCAACACUACUUUCACCCUUCCACCACCACUUCUCUUACCUCCUUCUCCUUGCUUCUGCUGCUUCACUUCUUCUUCACCUUGUUCCAUCAAAGUGCAUGUCUCCAUGCAAUUCCCCAUCACUUUCCUAAUAAUAAUAUAAUGAUACCACUAAUUAAAUCAAACUUUGAUUCAAUUUUCUUCCAGAGAUAGUGAAGACUUUCAGGCCUUUAAUUUGAAUCAGGGGAACAAAACUAUAACAAUAAUAAUAACGAGGAUGGAGGGAAGAAUGGAGAGAGAUAUAUAGGUAUUUAUAUAAAUAAAUACACUUCAAUUAAUGGGCUCUGUUUAACUAAUUAUUAUUAUUAUAACUAUAGCAAAAUAAUGAAAU
Molecule: long non-coding RNA, 1086 nt
Filed under: Arachis ipaensis
Lineage: Eukaryota; Viridiplantae; Streptophyta; Magnoliopsida; Fabales; Fabaceae
Description: long non-coding RNA (AIPA_LNC001161)
Source: RNAcentral